AUGAAGUUCAACUUUUAUAAGUCAACUGCAUUUCAAUUCUGGUGGUUAAUUACUGGAUUAAGAAAGAGUUUUGAAUUUGGAGGGAAUAUAUGAGUUAUAACUGUCAAAUUUGAUAGUACAGAGCAGAGUUAUUCACCGGAAAACUUUUAUUUAAACAAAAAACCCUCACGGAAAACUCAUGAACAAACAAUCUCUACAACCUCUACGGUUUAGAUCACAACACGACGAUUUGAUACAGAAACCAACAAGAUCUAACAAGUUCUUAAACACAAAUAACCCUAGAUCUCUGGUUACAUUCCAGAGAGAUCGAGACCUAAGAUAGAAAGAGAAAUAAAUUGUCUGGCCUGGUUCUUGGUUCUUCUUCUGGAAACGACGGAUGAUGGUGGUGGUUCGGUGGCCAUUGAUUUGAAGGCUUGUCAAUAAGUUUGUCAUCAAGCACACUUAUAUAACGACCCGAAGAAAUCCGGAUCAGCUGCUCUGCAACAACAAGCCCAGCCCAUCAUACUUUAUCUUUAGCAAGCCAGCCCAUCAGCUCCUUUGUCUUUAAUCAGCAAGCCCAACUCUCAUUCAGCCCAAUCUAACAUGCAACAAGUAAAACAAACCAAAACAAAUCAUUAAAAACCUAAUACAUACCAGUUUAUAUCUGAUUAACAAUUUUAUAUCUGAUUAACAAUUUUGGUAAUGCACCUGGACAGUUGUUU
RNAcentral lists this long non-coding RNA (701 nucleotides) under Helianthus annuus (common sunflower). Its description in RNAcentral is "hypothetical non coding rna". Lineage: Eukaryota; Viridiplantae; Streptophyta; Magnoliopsida; Asterales; Asteraceae. The record is from RNAcentral.